GACGAACGCUCGCGGCGUGCUUAACACAUGCAAGUCGAACGGAAAGGCCCUGCUUUUGUGGGGUGCUCGAGUGGCGAACGGGUGAGUAACACGUGAGUAACCUGCCCUUGACUUUGGGAUAACUUCAGGAAACUGGGGCUAAUACCGGAUAGGAGCUCCUGCUGCAUGGUGGGGGUUGGAAAGUUUCGGCGGUUGGGGAUGGACUCGCGGCUUAUCAGCUUGUUGGUGGGGUAGUGGCUUACCAAGGCUUUGACGGGUAGCCGGCCUGAGAGGGUGACCGGCCACAUUGGGACUGAGAUACGGCCCAGACUCCUACGGGAGGCAGCAGUGGGGAAUAUUGCACAAUGGGCGGAAGCCUGAUGCAGCAACGCCGCGUGCGGGAUGACGGCCUUCGGGUUGUAAACCGCUUUCGCCUGUGACGAAGCGUGAGUGACGGUAAUGGGUGAAGAAGCACCGGCUAACUACGUG
This 468-nucleotide ribosomal RNA is filed under the name uncultured bacterium. Its description in RNAcentral is "partial 16S ribosomal RNA". It matches the Rfam family "Bacterial small subunit ribosomal RNA", at positions 28 to 507 of the family's 1533-position model. The record is from RNAcentral.